GUCGAAGUGAAGAAGGGGGAUACCUCAAUUCAGCCUUCCUCCCAGUCGUCAGUUAAACCCAAAAAAUUGAAAAAUUUGAAUAGUGUCUCCAAGGAUGUUCCUGUUCAUGCCAAGGAAGCAACAACCUCUCUUUUAAAUGCAGCUUCCAAGCCAAAAGUCGAAGUGAAGAAGGGGGAUACCUCAAUUCAGCCUUCCUCCCAGUCGUCAGUUAAACCCAAAAAAUUGAAAAA
Non-coding RNA from Bemisia tabaci, 230 nucleotides. The record is from RefSeq and is a predicted model, not a curated record. Lineage: Eukaryota; Metazoa; Arthropoda; Insecta; Hemiptera; Aleyrodidae.